UUAUUGGAGAGUUUGAUCCUGGCUCAGGAUGAACGCUGGCGGCGUGCCUAAUACAUGCAAGUCGAGCGAAUGGAUUAAGAGCUUGCUCUUAUGAAGUUAGCGGCGGACGG
Molecule: ribosomal RNA, 110 nt
Filed under: Bacillus cereus
Lineage: Bacteria; Bacillati; Bacillota; Bacilli; Caryophanales; Bacillaceae
Also listed under: 16 other names
Description: partial 16S ribosomal RNA
Rfam family: Bacterial small subunit ribosomal RNA
Source: RNAcentral